AUUGAACUGAAGAGUUUGAUCAUGGCUCAGAUUGAACGCUGGCGGCAGGCCUAACACAUGCAAGUCGAGCGGAUGAAGGGAGCUUGCUCCUGGAUUCAGCGGCGGACGGGUGAGUA
RNAcentral lists this ribosomal RNA (116 nucleotides) under Pseudomonas aeruginosa HB15. Its description in RNAcentral is "partial 16S ribosomal RNA". It matches the Rfam family "Bacterial small subunit ribosomal RNA", at positions 1 to 112 of the family's 1533-position model. Lineage: Bacteria; Pseudomonadati; Pseudomonadota; Gammaproteobacteria; Pseudomonadales; Pseudomonadaceae. The record is from RNAcentral.